This 3999-nucleotide unclassified non-coding RNA is filed under the name Hevea brasiliensis (rubber tree). The record is from RNAcentral. Lineage: Eukaryota; Viridiplantae; Streptophyta; Magnoliopsida; Malpighiales; Euphorbiaceae.
AGGCACUCUAUGCGUGCGCACCUUGGGCUUUUCUCUCUCAAAACAUAAAAUCGCAUGUUAUAUCUGUAGGGACUCAGGGUUUCCUAACUAAGAGGAGGAAAAAGCUUAAUCAGAAAUCUCAGAGGUAGAAGAAGAAUCACCACCGGCCACAGUAACAAUGUCAACAGGCAAGAAAAUCACUUUGAAAAGCUCAGACGGAGAGACCUUUGAGGUGGAUGAGGCGGUGGCUCUCGAAUCGCAGACGAUAAAGGACGCGAUAGAGGUCAGUUGCGCAGAUAACGGUAUCCCUCUGCCUAAUGUCACCAGCAAAAUUCUCUCUAAGGUAAUUGAGUACUGUAAGAAGCAUGUCGAUACCUCCAAGUCUGAUGAUCGUCCUUCUGUUGAUGACAAGUUGAAGGUCUGGGACGCUGAGUUCGUCAAAGUUGAUCAGGCUACUCUCUUCGAUCUCAUCCUGGCUGCCAACUAUCUAAACAUCAAGAGCUUGCUGGAUCACACUUGUCAGACAGUGGCAGACAAGAUCAAGGGCAAAACUCCAGAGGAAAUUUGCGCGACUUUCAACAUCAGGAAUGACUUUACACCUGAGAAAGAGGAGGAAGUUCGCCGAGAAAACCAAUGGGCCUUUGAGUGAAAGGCCAGGAAAGUGUAUUCCUAAUUCCCCUUUUAUGUUGGACAUGGGUGUUCCGGAUUACUACUUUGCAAACAAUUGUUAUUUUACUUGCCUUGUUCCCUACCCAAAACAAUCACCAACUCUGAUGUCUGGUUGUAACCUGUUUGUUAAGUUUGUGCUGUUUGUUAAGUUUGUGCUUUAAUUUGCCUAAUGUUGUCUUCUGUGAUCCAAUAUUUCUGUUAUGACACGGUGCAUUACAACAAUUGUUUAAUGUGAACAAGAUAGCUCAAGAGUUGUGGGGAUCACAUAAAGUCAUCCAUUGGUAUUCUGCUUGGUAACUUGUGAACCAAAUGGGCAGAUAGCCUGGAGAUGCCAUAUGAUAGUGCUCCAGGAUAGAGAAAAAAGGGAAUUUGGAUCAUAAUGGCAAAAAAGCCAUUCUAAGCUCAAGUUUCGUGUGAUUUGAAGGAGGUCCAGUGCCGCCGAUGUUAGUGGUUUUAAAAGGUGGAGUUGAGAUAGCGUCGACAGCAUAUACUGAGCAGCGUUAAUUGGCUUUUACAGUUCAUACUAAUUUGGGGAGUUAAUGUACUACAGCAGCCAUUAUUAAUUGUAAAUUACAUCCGUGCACCCGUGCCACUGCCACAAAUUGUUUUGUCACUUCUUACUACUUCUACUGCUUACAACAAAUGGGGUGCGGACCUUGAAUUUUCCGUUAGUCCAAGUAAUUGAUCCAAACACAUCGUCCAGAGGUGAAGAUGCAUUGAAAAAAACUUGAUAGCUCAGUCUCUGUCCAUUCCCUGUAAAUUUUAGUUCCAUUGGAUCGACUGCAACUCCUAGUCCAUGAGGCAAAGAAAGCAUUGGAGUGUAUGAUGUAGCACCAUCUCCGCCAACGUUUGUAAGAGUUCUGCUUACAUUCCUAAUCUGAUUUGCAGCGAGGUUGAAAACUGCAAUGGAUGCAUAGUUGAUGUUAGAUAUGAGAUCGGAGCUUGAAUCAUUGGGGCAAGUAAAGCCAUCUGGAAGAGUUGCCGAGAUGACUUUUAUUGUGGAUGUAUCAUAUCCAUAAUAGCAUAGAAAGUUUAGGUAGUCAAUGGCAGUUGUCUCAUAAACUAGCCCCGGUUGCAGUGGUCCAGUUGCGCUUAUUUCUCCUGCCCCAUAAUCAUAAGCAGUGGCUAUGGCACCUGAAUCUGCCGUUAUAGAGGCCUUAACGUUGUUUGUUUGAGAUGCAGUGGUCAUAAUGGCUGAUUUGAUUGCGGAUGGGCUCCACGUGGGAUUCUGGGAUUUGACUGCUGCAGCAAUUCCUGAAACGUGUGGACAUGCCAUGGAAGUUCCUGAGAGCACAUUAAAUAGUGGGGGUUCUUUUCCUUUAACAGUCUCCUGUGUAUCAUUGCCCAUCCAUGCUGCAAUUAUGUCAACUCCUGGUGCUGCAAUAUCAGGCUGCAAAGCCAGAAAAAAACAGGGCAACAAUUUAUUUGUGUUUGAGCUUGUGGUGAUAUUUGCAAAGAAAAUAUCGUCCGGAAUGCAAACGGAUUGUAGGAAUAAGAGACUUUGCCUUGAGGAUGUUCCUUGUGAUGGAAGAAGGACCUCUAGCGGAGAAGUAUGCAACAGCUGGAGCAGGCUUAUAUUUUGUCACUGCUGUGGUAGGUAAGAUAGUUGCAACUGGAUUUCUGUGUAAGUUUUCAAAUUUGUCAACUAUAAAUUGCUUGAAACACUUAAAUGAGUUUCUAUUCACUGCAGCUGAUCUUUAACUUCAGAUCAAGACAAUAGUGUUUUGUCUUACUUAGUUGAGUUUAUGUAAGAAAGAAUUUCAGCAGCAUCCUUUGAACUGAUGACGGUCAUCGGAAAUUCCUUGUAAGUGGAUGCAACGGCCUUUGUCUUGUCAUCAACCAAAAUUAGACCAAUUCCUCCUAAGCUUUGAACUUCCCCCUUCUUCUCAUAAUCUGAGUAUUCACCAUCUUCAUUAUCACAGAGUAUAAUAUUUCCUUUGAUCUUCUCCUUAUCCAUGGAACCUGGCUUGCAGUUUCUUGCUUCAUCUUCAGCUGAAUCAGUGUUCUUGGCUGACUUCGCAUAUAUCAAAGGGUGCACUGGAUCUUUUCCAAUAUUAGCAAAAUUUAUACCUUCGCCCUUUAUUGCCUUGUUUCCACCCAACACAACAUCUGACUCAAAAUCCCUGUCAAUGGUUGUAGCACCAACCGUCAGAAUCCAUGGCGCAGUAUUUACAACUGUUCCUGAGCUAGGGCCAUCAUUCCCUGCAGAACAGACAACGGUGAUCCCAUUCUCAACUGCGUGGAAUGCUCCGAUGGCAAUAGGAUCCUUGUUUAAAUCGGGCGCAAAUGAGGAUGGUGAACCAAGUGAUAUUGAUAGUACAUCAGCGCCAUCUGCAAUUGCAUCAUCAAAUGCUGCUAGUAUGCUGGAGCCUUGGCAUCCAUUAUGUGAACAUACUCUAUAUACAGCGAUCCUUGACCCUGGGGAGCCACCUUUCGCAGUUCCCUCAGCCAGGCCGUAGUAUGAUGCACUUGAGACCACAGCUCCUGCUGCAGUUGCGGCUACAUGAGUGCCAUGUCCAAUCAUAUCCCUAGGUGUUUGAUAGAUUUCAUCAUCUUCGCUUCCAUAAAACCUUGCUCCGAUUAGUUUUCUGUUACAGUUGGAUGAGUUGAAGUUGUAACCUUUUACACAAGUUCCUUUCCAGCGUGAUAGAAUUGGACCCAUGUCCUUGUCACUAAAACUCUCUGAUUCGGGCCAAAUGCCUGUAUCGAUUAUUCCAAUGAUCGUGUCCGAUCCAUUAAAGGAUGAGCUAGAGUCUGAAGUGGGAUUGGAAUCAAUCUCAACAUCAGUUUGAUACUUCAAGAAAUCCCAUGAACGAGUUGUGUGGAGUUGGAAGACAGGAUCAGGAAAAACAGAUGCAACUCCAGGUCUCUGAGCAAUUGAUUGCGCCUCUGCUUCUGAUAAACGAGCAGCAAAACCCGAAAAUCCAUGCCUGUAGCUGCGUAAUAUAGCAUUCUUUUUCCCUUUUGACACAGAGCUCAAAAGCUGGACGUAAUCGUUUUCCAAGUAACCUUUGCCAGCUCCCAUGUAAACAAUGUAAACCCCAUCCUUGUCUGCAGCUGCAACUCCUGUUUCUAUCAGACAAGACAAGGGAAAUAAGAGAUAGAAUAUGAUAAGACCGUUCAUGGCUUGAACUGUUCCAAGGAGAUUGAAUUGGAAGCUCUCUCUCUCUGGUUUAGUGAUGCAUGGCUUGUUAUGUCUAUGAUAGAGCUCUUAUCCAGCCAAGUUAGUGAUAUUUAUAAUACCAAAAAAUGGUGGGUGCUUGGUUUACACAGGCUUUUUUCUAUUAUUUUAGAUUUUUAGUUUUUUUUUCUGGGCCUCCUUUAUUAUGCAAUUAGUUAAAUGGUUGUGCA